This 1436-nucleotide ribosomal RNA is filed under the name human gut metagenome. RNAcentral describes it as "bacterial LSU rRNA". It matches the Rfam family "Bacterial large subunit ribosomal RNA", at positions 1054 to 2376 of the family's 2925-position model. The record is from RNAcentral.
GUGUGCUAAGUGGGAAAGGAUGUGGAGUCGCAUAGACAGCCAGGAGGUUGGCUCAGAAGCAGCCACCCUUGAAAGAGUGCGUAACAGCUCACUGGUCUAGUGGUUCCGCGCCGACAAUGUAGCGGGGCUCAAGCACACCACCGAAGACGCGGCAGUAGCUUUGCUACUGGGUAGGAGAGCGUCCCAUGCGGGGCGAAGCGGCGGCGCAAGCCCGCCGUGGACCGCAUGGGAGUGAGAAUGCAGACAUGAGUAGCGAAAGACGGGUGAAGAUCCCGUCCGCUGGACGACCAAGGGUUCCAGGGCCACGUUCAUCGUCCCUGGGUGAGUCGGGUCCUAAGGCGAGGCCGACAGGCGUAGUCGAAUGGAUGAACGGGUCGAUAUUCCCGUACCGGCAUGCAACCGACAAAACCGAAUCCGCGAGUACUAACCUCCGGGUCCGGGCUUACGUCUCCUUCGGGAGCCGGAUGCCCUGGCCUGUUGGGACCGUAACGGUAGUAGGUCAGCGCGGGAGUGACGCAGAAGGGUAGCCGGCCGCGGAGGUGGUCUUCCGUGGUCAAGCACGCAGCCCGUCCCACAGGCAAAUCCGUGGGGCGCGUGGGCGAGGUGCGAUGAUGGGCGCCGCAGGGCGCGAUAUCCGGUGAUCCCGGCUGCCGAGAAAAGCUUCGGCGUGAGGCGGCGUGCCGCCCGUACCCCAAACCGACACUGGUGGUCAGGUAGAGAAUACCAAAGCGAUCGAGCGAAUCCUGGUCAAGGAACUCGGCAAAUCACUCCCGUUCCUUCGGUUUAAGGGAGACCCCCGAUGGUGAAGCGGCUUGCCCGUGGAGCUUUUGGGGGUGGCACAGACCAGGGGGUAGCGACUGUUUACCAAAAACACAGGAGCGUGCGAAGGCGCAAGCCGCUGUAUACGCUCUGACGCCUGCCCGGUGCCGGAAGGUUAAGAGGAUCCGUCAGGCUUCGGCCGAAGCGGUGAAUUCAAGCCCCGGUAAACGGCGGUGGUAACUAUAACCAUCCUAAGGUAGCGAAAUUCCUUGUCGGGUAAGUUCCGACCUGCACGAAUGGCGUAACGACUUCCCCACUGUCUCGACCAGGAGCUCGGCGAAAUUGCAGUACGAGUAAAGAUGCUCGUUAAGCGCAGAAGGACGAAAAGACCCCGGGACCUUUACUAUACCUUGGUAUUGGCAUUCGGUGUGGAUUGUGUAGCAUAGGCGGAAGGCUUCGAAGCCACGGCGCCAGCCGCGGUGGAGCCGCAAGGUGAAAUACCGCUCUGUUCGCAUUGGAUGUCUAACCUCGACCAGUCAUCCUGGUCAGGGACAGUGCCUGGCGGGUAGUUUAACUGGGGCGGUUGCCUCCCAAAGAGUAACGGAGGCGCUCAAAGGUUCCCUCAGCCCGGUUGGCAAUCGGGUGGCGAGUGUAAGUGCACAAGGGAGCUUGACUGC